Capsicum annuum is the source of this 2669-nucleotide long non-coding RNA. RefSeq lists it as uncharacterized. Lineage: Eukaryota; Viridiplantae; Streptophyta; Magnoliopsida; Solanales; Solanaceae. The transcript has 4 exons. The record is from RefSeq and is a predicted model, not a curated record.
UCUACCGGGCCUCCUCGGUUACGGGUGCCAAUCCACCCCAAUAGGAUUUGAGGCGUGACACAAUCUCAUUAGUUGAGGCAAAAAGGUGGCAACAACUUUUCACCAACUUUUGUACUAUGUGUCAGCUGGAAAGUUGACUGUGAUAGUGACCAAUGAGCCCAACCUAUUCCCUAAUAAGUAAAAGGACUUUGUCAUCACAACAAGAGCUCCAGGGAACAGGUCCAAACUAUGAAUUUGUCAAUCAUCAAAACCAAGGACUUAACAGUAUAGGCAGGUAUGUUUGGUCUUAUGUGCCAUAAACUGAGAAAUUAUCUUAUUAAAUUUAUGUUUCUAUUAAUUCAAUCUUAAGUUUUUCUUUCUUGUGUUUUUGGAUGUACAACUACUAAUGUUUGAUAAUUGUAGCUUAUCAUUUCUCAAGGGGUAGUGUUGGUGCAACAAGAUCAAUUUAAGGUAAGUAUCAUGAUUGAAACAACUAGGUUCCUUUUUGUUCCUCAUUUUUACUGGGUUUUCACACUGUAAGGGCCAGAUAAUUUAACUAAAUUAGGUGAGAUUGGUUGACAUAUCAGGUGAUUCAAAGUCCUUUGGACUUUUAAGUAGUCAACGGACAAAGGAAGAUGGAGGGGACAAUCUAUAGACACACUAAGAAAAUAUAAUUUCUUUGUGCAAUGAAACCAUUUGCAGAAUAAGUAUAUAUAUUUGAUAAUAAGUAUAUAUAUUUGAUGUUGUAUUAUAAUUUUACAAAUACUAAUGACACAAUUUGUAGUGUUGACUAGUAUCUUGUUUAAUAGGCUAAAAGUUUUGGUGGUUUUCAGGAGCAGUUAGAACCAUAUGUCAACAUUUUCAGUAAAUAUGCACUUUCAUGUAAAGAUUGGCUUGCCACUUACUCAUUUUUUCAGAAGGUUUGCUGAGAUAUCAUUGGUGGAGAUUUGAUGAGGUUGGUUAAGAGUUUGUUUGCAGGAUGCUUGGUGAGUUGAUAAUUAUAAUAUAUGGAUGAUACAAAAGCUUUAAUCAAGUGUAAACAACUCCAAAAGGAUUGGAAUGGAUGGACAAACACAUGGGACAAGAUUUGACCAAAAACGGAUGUUUUGGAGUCAUUGGCGUGCCACGGACCUUAGGCACCACUUUAGGGCCCUGAAACACCCUUGGGGGAAUCCUAAAUGACAAAUUACAGUAUCCAACCACAAUUGGGGCGUUCCAUGGACCCUAGAAACCGCAAUAUGGGCUUGACAUGCUCCUAUGUCAAAAUUAGCAGCUUGUGUCCUCCUAUAAAUAGGACCCUUAAACAUUAUGUUUCAAACCUUGGACGACCUUGGGACUUGAAGGAGGGAUGGAGAACACUUCAAUUAGGGUUUAUAUUCCAUUAAUUUGUUUUUUUUUUUUAUGUAUUUUAACCUGUAUUUAAUCAUCGUGAUUACGGUUACUUCCAUGAGCGGCUAAACACCCUUUUUUGGGGUUAAGGCCAAAAACAUGAGUAUUAUUGUUAUGAAUUGAAUUGAUUUGGUUGUUUAUAAUAUUUGGUUGUUUAUUUAUCCUUUUUAUCACUAUUUUAAGUCUUCAUGACUAUCACGACCCGAAUCGGGGCCUACUCGUGACGGGUAUCUCAAUUCCCACGUAGAUCGGAGAUCACCCCUUGUACCUAAACAAACCAAACACACCACACCAUAUGGUCAGCUGAAUUUAGAACAUAAUAACAAGAUAGCGUUCAAUAGUCUAAGAAAUUUUAAAUGCAUGCCCAUAACCAAACACCAAUGACCGGCCAACCGAUCGAUCGAUGCUGCCCAAUAGUCACAGUAUUCCAAACAAAGACUUCUAAACUAUGAUCCAAAACUGAAUAUCAAUAAAGUGUAGGGACAUGCUCCCAACAAUAGCCAAAAAAAUAAGUCCAAAGGAAUAUUCAAAAUGUAAAGGAAGCCAUAAUAAUGAAAUGGGGUCUUCCAAAGAAUGGAAGCUCACCACUUUAAUCUGACUCGCUAGUUGAUACCGGAUCCAAGUUACUUAGCAGGAGAAGUAGAAGUAUUACCAGUUCUUGCAUCGUGUGGGGAUACAGUGUCCGAAGAUGGUUAACGGGGUUAAUGCUAGCAUAAAACUUGGGUAUAAGGAUAACAUAAUGACAUGAUAAAUAGUUUAAAAAUCAUCUCUAAAAAUCAAUGCACAUAAUCAAAUGCAUAACCAUAUAUAUAUAUAUAUGUGUGUGUGUGUGUGUGUGUGUGUGUGUGUGUGUGUGUGUGUGUGUGUUAAAUGCCGAGAUAGGAAAGAAGUUUUAACAUGCUUUUCAAACCUUAACCUCGAUUGUGUAGCUCAACCAUCAUAUAAUAGUACCCAUGGGAUAUAUGGGUCCCAGCUCUCACCCCCUGAUCGGGCUCCAAUGCGUGUAGCCGCAUGAGCUAGAGAGUAAUAACAUAUAUAUGAACAUGGGGGACUCAAACCCUCCAACAUAUACCAAGGUGACUUACACACCCGAUCAUAUAAUGAUUUACGGGGGAUUCGAACCUCCCUAGUCACUUUGACUGCCGCAUUAGCAAAUAUGAUUUCCAGUAUCGGUCACUUGAACCUCCAAUUUCAUGACUCAGCUACACAAACCUUAUUAUAACAUAAUUAAAACAAGUAUCACACACUCCCAUUCAUUUAGACACAUUCCAUAUUAAGGCAUACAAGGUUGGUAUCAUCAU